UCCAGAUUAUGCUUCAGCUGCUGCCUUCGAAACGGAGGGCAGGGAGUGCCUCUGUGUGACCAGCUAAGCCUCUGACAAAGAAACUGCAAAGCACAACCAGAUUAAACAAACACCCUCCUGAGAAGUCCCUCUGCAGCCUUCCUCUAGGAUGCAUGCAGCUCUUGGCAGGCAGCUCUAAGGUCUUGGAGUCCUCUCCAGGCUGCAAACCCCAACUCCUUCAGCCUGUCCUCACAGCAGUCCUGCUCCAGCCCUUGGAUCAUCUUUGUAGUCUGCUCUGCAUUCUCUCCACCAAGAGGAAAUUGCAGCCUUGUUCUCUGCAGCCUAAGUGCAUGAGGUCAUCUGGCAGAAGCUGUUCUCAGUCCAAUCUGAAGGAUUCACAUCUGAAAUACGACCACUGCUGCACAGGGGGGCUAGGAACCAACUGUGAGAGAGAAGUGGUCCAGCUCUUUGGAUAUCUAUCCUACUAGAAAAGGAGGCUCUGUUACCAAGAGAGGAGUUUUCCCAACCUGGUCUUCCUGAGGAUCCUUUGGCUACCAUCUUCAUGAAUGAGGCUUCCUGAGGAGACAGAAACACACAACU
Pogoniulus pusillus (Red-fronted tinkerbird) is the source of this 579-nucleotide long non-coding RNA. RefSeq lists it as uncharacterized. The record is from RefSeq and is a predicted model, not a curated record. Lineage: Eukaryota; Metazoa; Chordata; Aves; Piciformes; Lybiidae. The transcript has 4 exons.